CCUACGGGCGGCUGCAGUGGGGAAUAUUGCACAAUGGGCGCAAGCCUGAUGCAGCCAUGCCGCGUGUGUGAAGAAGGCCUUCGGGUUGUAAAGCACUUUCAGCGGGGAGGAAGGCGGUGAGGUUAAUAACCUCAUCGAUUGACGUUACCCGCAGAAGAAGCACCGGCUAACUCCGUGCCAGCAGCCGCGGUAAUACGGAGGGUGCAAGCGUUAAUCGGAAUUACUGGGCGUAAAGCGCACGCAGGCGGUCUGUCAAGUCGGAUGUGAAAUCCCCGGGCUCAACCUGGGAACUGCAUUCGAAACUGGCAGGCUAGAGUCUUGUAGAGGGGGGUAGAAUCCCAGGUGUAGCGGUGAAAUGCGUAGAGAUCUGGAGGAAUACCGGUGGCGAAGGCGGCCCCCUGGACAAAGACUGACGCUCAGGUGCGAAAGCGUGGGGAGCAAACAGGAUUAGAUACCCGGGUAGUC
This 465-nucleotide ribosomal RNA is filed under the name uncultured Klebsiella sp. RNAcentral describes it as "bacterial SSU rRNA". It matches the Rfam family "Bacterial small subunit ribosomal RNA", at positions 338 to 795 of the family's 1533-position model. Lineage: Bacteria; Pseudomonadati; Pseudomonadota; Gammaproteobacteria; Enterobacterales; Enterobacteriaceae. The record is from RNAcentral.